Non-coding RNA from Myotis davidii, 74 nucleotides. NCBI's taxonomy places the organism in Eukaryota, Metazoa, Chordata, Mammalia, Chiroptera, Vespertilionidae. The record is from Rfam.
GGCGGUUCUCAGGUGAUGCACCCUGGAAUUGGGCUCCCUCCUCUCUGCUUCUGGGUGCAUCACCAAGAAUUACA